Molecule: ribosomal RNA, 501 nt
Filed under: uncultured bacterium
Lineage: Bacteria
Description: partial 16S ribosomal RNA
Rfam family: Bacterial small subunit ribosomal RNA
Source: RNAcentral
AUUGAACGCUGGCGGCAGGCUUAACACAUGCAAGUCGAGCGGGGGAAGGUAGCUUGCUACCGGACCUAGCGGCGGACGGGUGAGUAAUGCUUAGGUAUCUGCCUACUAGUGGGGGACAACAUCUCGAAAGGGAUGCUAAUACGGCAUACGUCCUACGGGAGAAAGCAGGGGAUCUUCGGACCUUGCGCUAAUAGGUGAGCCUAAGUCGGGUUAGAUAGUUGGUGGGGUAAAGGCUUACCAAGGCGACGAUCUGGAGCGGGUCUGAGAGGAUGAUCCGCCACGCUGGGACUGAGACACGGGCCAGACUCCUACGGGAGGCAGCAGUGGGGAAUAUUGGAAAAUGGGGGGAACCCUGAUCCAGCCAUGCCGCGUGUGUGAAGAAGGCCUUAUGGUUGUAAAGCACUUUAAGCGAGGAGGAGGCUACUUUAGUCAAUACCUAGAGAUAGUGGACGUUACUCGCAGAAUAAGCACCGGCUAACUCUGUGCCAGCCGCCGCAGUAA